UGGGGAAUAUUGCGCAAUGGGGGGAACCCUGACGCAGCCAUGCCGCGUGAAUGAAGAAGGCCUUCGGGUUGUAAAGUUCUUUCGGUAUUGAGGAAGGUUGAUGUGUUAAUAGCACAUCAAAUUGACGUUAAAUACAGAAGAAGCACCGGCUAACUCCGUGCCAGCAGCCGCGGUAAUACGGAGGGUGCGAGCGUUAAUCGGAAUAACUGGGCGUAAAGGGCACGCAGGCGGUUAUUUAAGUGGGGUGUGAAAGCCCCGGGCUUAACCUGGGAAUUGCAUUUCAGACUGGGUAACUAGAGUACUUUAGGGAGGGGUAGAAUUCCACGUGUAGCGGUGAAAUGCGUAGAGAUGUGGAGGAAUACCGAAGGCGAAGGCAGCCCCUUGGGAAUGUACUGACGCUCAUGUGCGAAAGCGUGGGGAGCAAACAGGAUUAGAUACCCUGGUAGUCCACGCUGUAAACGCUGUCGAUUUGGGGGUUGGGGUUUAACUCUGGCGCCCGUAGCUAACGUGAUAAAUCGACCGCCUGGGGAGUACGGCCGCAAGGUUA
Molecule: ribosomal RNA, 547 nt
Filed under: uncultured bacterium
Lineage: Bacteria
Description: bacterial SSU rRNA
Rfam family: Bacterial small subunit ribosomal RNA
Source: RNAcentral